UCUGCCCAGGCUGAACCGGCCCUGACGCAGGUGGACAGGCUGAUCAUCUGCGUGUUUCUGGAGAAGGACGAGAACAUCUACCGGCAACGGCUUCCGUACUACUUCCCGGUCGCCUGACGGCACCCGCCACCCACCCUGACCAGGACUGACUCGUCGGGGCCUGCUGGACCUCGCUCGCAGCUCUAAGUCGGGGAAGCCUGCAGCUGGGCCUGGCCUGGCCACCCUGUUCUUUCCUUCUGCUCCCUGCUCGCCCCCCGAGGAGACUCCUAAUAAAGACCACGAG
RNAcentral lists this long non-coding RNA (283 nucleotides) under Catagonus wagneri (Chacoan peccary). RNAcentral describes it as "lncRNA (ENSCWAG00000015874.1)". Lineage: Eukaryota; Metazoa; Chordata; Mammalia; Artiodactyla; Tayassuidae. The record is from RNAcentral.